UGCCAGCCGCCGCGGUAAUACGGAGGGGGUUAGCGUUGUUCGGAAUUACUGGGCGUAAAGCGCGCGUAGGCGGGCUGUUAGGUCAGAGGUGAAAUCCCUGGGCUUAACCUGGGAACUGCAUUCGAUACUGCAUAACUAGAGUAUGGUAGAGGGAAGUGGAAUUUCCGGUGUAGCGGUGAAAUGCGUAGAUAUCGGAAGGAACACCAGUGGCGAAGGCGACUUCCUGGGCCAAUACUGACGCUGAGGUGCGAAAGCGUGGGGAGCAAACAGGAUUAGAUA
This 279-nucleotide ribosomal RNA is filed under the name uncultured bacterium. RNAcentral describes it as "partial 16S ribosomal RNA". It matches the Rfam family "Bacterial small subunit ribosomal RNA", at positions 506 to 784 of the family's 1533-position model. The record is from RNAcentral.